This 846-nucleotide ribosomal RNA is filed under the name gut metagenome. Its description in RNAcentral is "bacterial SSU rRNA". It matches the Rfam family "Bacterial small subunit ribosomal RNA", at positions 92 to 927 of the family's 1533-position model. The record is from RNAcentral.
UCAGUGGCGAACGGGUGAGUAAUACGCAGGGAACCUGGCCAUGGCAGGGGGAUACACUCUGGAAACGGAGCAUAAGACCCCAUAGGCAGUGAGAUGGCAUCAUCUUGCUGUUAAAGAAAGCUGCAAGGCUUUGGCGAUGGAUGGACCUGCGGUGCAUUAGCUGGUUGGUGAGGCAACGGCUUACCAAGGCGAUGAUGCAUAGCCGGCCUGAGAGGGCGGACGGCCACACUGGGACUGAGACACGGCCCAGACUCCUGCGGGAGGCAGCAGUAGGGAAUUUUCGUCAAUGGGCGCAAGCCUGAACGAGCAAUGCCGCGUGAGUGAAGAAGGUCUUCGGAUUGUAAAGCUCUGUUGCCGGGGAAAAAGAGGGGAUGCAGGAAAUGGCAUUUCAUGGAUGGUACCCGGCCAGAAAGCCACGGCUAACUACGUGCCAGCAGCCGCGGUAAUACGUAGGUGGCGAGCGUUAUCCGGAAUGAUUGGGCGUAAAGGGUGCGCAGGCGGUCUGUUAAGUCUGAAGGCAAAGGGAUGAGCUCAACUCAUUUAUGAUUCAGAAACUGGCAGACUUGAGGACAGGAGAGGGCGGUGGAACUCCAUGUGUAGCGGUAAAAUGCGCAGAGAUAUGGAAGAACACCAGUGGCGAAGGCGGCCGCCUGGCCUGUGACUGACGCUGAGGCACGAAAGCGUGGGGAGCAAAUAGGAUUAGAUACCCUAGUAGUCCACGCCGUAAACGAUGAGGAGCAGGUGUUGGGAGUGAAAUCUCAGUGCCGAAGCCAACGCAGUGACUCCUCCGCCUGGGGAGUAUGCACGCAAGUGUGAAACUCAAAGGAAUUGACGGGGGCCCGCACA